GAUUUCCCCCUCGGGCGCUCUCGCGCUAACUCUGCUCUCCUGGGCCCCGUCCGCCCGCUCCCAGCCAUGGUGGCCUGGCGCUCAGCGUUCCUCAUCUGCCUCGCUUUCUCCUUGGCCACUCUGGUCCAGAGAGAUGCUGUUCUGGUGACUUCUCUGGGCACGUACUGCACUGCUCUUGCUCUUCCCCAGGCCCGGGAUGAUGUCUGACACCAAGUAGGAGCUGGUCAAGAUAUGUGGUGGCAGGACAGACAAACAUGGACAUCGAAGAAAGGAAGCUCCGGGGACAAUGAUGAUUUCUAUCCAAGGGAAACGUCCUCAGCAAAGCAGAGAUGGGACCGCGUCACCACGACAACCAAGAGACCUGGAGUGACCAGGGCUCCAGCAAAGCCUGCAGGCAGUGAUUUUGACUUGGCUGAUGCCUUGGAUGGAAACGAUCAAGACGAUGGCCGCAGGAAACCGAGUCCAGGAGGAGGAGGUUUUUCGGACAAGGAUCUUGAAGACAUCUUAGGGGGCGGCGAAUACAGACCUGACAAGGGUAAAGGUGAUGCCGGGUAUGGCAGCAACGGUGACUCGGAAUCCGGAAUGUCGGCAGAGACCGGCACCAUCGCCGGCGUGGCCAGCGCUCUGGCCAUGGCUCUCAUCGGCGCCGUGUCCAGCUACAUCUCCUACCAGCAGAAGAAGUUCUGCUUCAGCAUUCAGCAAGGUCUCAACGCGGACUACGUGAAGGGGGAAAACCUGGAGGCCGUCGUGUGCGAGGAGCCCCAAGUGAAGUACUCGGCGCUGCAGACACAGUCCGCCGAGCCGCCGCCGCCCGAGCCACCCCGGAUCUGAGCCCCGCUGGGCAGGCAGUGGGCACGCGUGGGGCCGCCGCUCAUCACCCAGCUCCCAGUUUCAUGCGGCCCCGCAGCUGCCACACUGCUCCUUCAAUGUCAUUGGCUUCUCGUCGUUCCCAGUGUCCCAGAUGAGCUCGGGGUGUUUGUGAGUUUGGUUCGCAUGCCCACCCUGCCUCUGUGGAGCCGGGCCGCGGAAAUCCGAGACCCCGCUCGCCAGAGAGCCGGGACCAGCCCCAGGAGCCGCGGGGUCACGGGUGCCCCAGGCCCCCCUGGCCUGAGCCGCCUGGGAGGGGGAGGCGGGGAGGAGAGUGAACCCAGCCCGUGACCCCUCCACGCUGCGGUGCCUGGCCGCCGGGCACCCUGGCCCGGAGGGACCUUCAGCAGGGCCCAGCGGCCAGGAGCCAAGCAGCGAGUGGCAGGGCACCCACCCUGCACGCACGCCCUGCCCGCUGAUUUGACUUGCUCCUCCCUUCCGGUCGCAGCCCUUAAGCUGCUGGGCUUCCUGAGCGCUGCUCCCCGUGGUGGCUUUUCACUUAUUUAAGUGCUAGCACCCGUGUCACAGUAGGCCGCCCUGAGACUUGAAUCUUCUGGACACGUAGGAAGCUUUGGCUCUCAGGCCUGAUUCCUAUCUGAUUCCAGAGGACUGGGUGUGGUCUCCAAGCUGACACGAUUCACUUUUAGGAAUCAUUUAAGCCGUGCUUGCGAGUUUCACACGACGGAAGGGGUGCUCACCCCCCACCCGGGCGUGGGCUCAUUUGGUGGCAGAGCUCCAGCCGUCCAGCACGCACGGAGAAGCCUGAAGCCUGCCCGCGGGUCGCUUGGAGUUUAUGGGGAGGGGGACGUUGGCUUGGUUUGGGAAACAUCCUACCUGGGGGAGGGCGCCUGGGGCCCGCGGGCGCUGCCUGGGCUGGGCCGGAGCAGAGCUGCGCUGCUGUCCCGGGCUGAGCUCACGUCUCGAGCCGCAGCUACUGUGAAGGAGCCUGCGGGGUCCUGCCCACCUCCACCUGCUGCAGGCCGGUCCCACGUGGUCCCCGGGCGGUGUCGGCUGCGCUGGCUGAGGCCCAGGGAGACCGCAGGCUGCAGAGCGGGGGCGCCCCACGAGGCCCCUGCCCCCAGGCUCAGGCCAGGCAGGCCGGGUGCCCGGGCCGGGAGGGCAAAGGGCUGCCCGUUCUCCCCCCCCCCCGCCCCACCCUCACGGGCUGGAUUGUUGCCAACUUGGCCCCAUGGGCCAGGCCUGUGGAGGACUUGUGCAUUUGAGCCUGCUGGUGCGUGAACAGGGUGGCCUCAGGGCCCAGGGAGGGCCAGUGUCCUGCACCAGGAGCUGGGGAGGGAUCGGGGCGGCAGUUUAGAGGAGGAGCGAGGCAGCGCUUGUUCGUGGUCGGAUGCUUCUCUCCCUGCCACCAGGGAGCUGGGACGUGUACAAAGAAGUCACAGUCAACGGCAGCGACUGGGAAGAGCGAGGUGGCCGUGUGACCCCGUGGUCACCUUAGCUCUGCAGCCAGGACCCUCCGAGGGGGAAGGCGCUGACAGCCUGGCUGUGGUGUCGUCAGCGCUCGCUGUGAAGCCGUCUCCUGCCCCGUCUGCCCUUCUGCGUCCAGCUUGGUGCCCGCUGUGACCGGUGCUGGCAGAGCUCUCAGCCCGGGGCCUCUUGGAGCCGUGUCCGCCCGAACGGGGCCUUGGCAGCUCGGGCCCAUCCCGGGCACCGGCGGAGACAGCGACGAGAAAAGCCAGCUGGCAGCGCCCGAGCCCUGUGCGCUUAACUGGGGUGGGGGCUGCGCGGUUCUGGGAACCCGGGGCGCGCGGGGCGAGCCCGGCUCUGAGGAGGGAGGCUGGAGGCUGAGCUCCGCGGCCCCUGUCCGUUUUCUGUGCUUGUGAUUACCUGUGAGUUGUACGCCGUCUCGUGUUUGCAUUAAAUAAAACCGAGCCUA
This 2761-nucleotide long non-coding RNA is filed under the name Sus scrofa (pig). Its description in RNAcentral is "lncRNA (ENSSSCG00065027415.1)". The record is from RNAcentral. Lineage: Eukaryota; Metazoa; Chordata; Mammalia; Artiodactyla; Suidae.